GAGUUUGAUCUUGGCUCAGGAUGAACGCUGGCGGCGUGCCUAAUACAUGCAAGUCGAGCGAACGGACGAGAAGCUUGCUUCUCUGAUGUUAGCGGCGGACGGGUGAGUAACACGUGGAUAACCUACCUAUAAGACUGGGAUAACUUCGGGAAACCGGAGCUAAUACCGGAUGAUAUUUUGAACCGCAUGGUUCAGAAGUGAAAGACGGUCUUGCUGUCACUUAUAGAUGGAUCCGCGCUGCAUUAGCUAGUUGGUAAGGUAACGGCUUACCAAGGCAACGAUGCAUAGCCGACCUGAGAGGGUGAUCGGCCACACUGGAACUGAGACACGGUCCAGACUCCUACGGGAGGCAGCAGUAGGGAAUCUUCCGCAAUGGGCGAAAGCCUGACGGAGCAACGCCGCGUGAGUGAUGAAGGUCUUCGGAUCGUAAAACUCUGUAUUAGGGAGAACAUAUGUGUAAGUAACUGUGCACAUCUUGACGGUACCUAAUCAGAAAGCCACGGCU
RNAcentral lists this ribosomal RNA (505 nucleotides) under uncultured microorganism. RNAcentral's name for it is "bacterial SSU rRNA". It matches the Rfam family "Bacterial small subunit ribosomal RNA", at positions 9 to 498 of the family's 1533-position model. The record is from RNAcentral.